UCAACCAAUCUUACAGUGAAAAUGUACCCUCUUCAUUCCAAUGGACUUUCUUGUGUUUCAGUUUGUGCCCAUUGCCUCUUGCCCUGUCACAGAAUACCACUGAGAAGAGUUUGUCUCCACCUUCUUUACUCUCCAGUCAGAAAUGGAUUUGAAUGGUUGUUACUGUAGCAAGGAAAUAGCAAGUAGAAGAAUAUAAGAAUCACAGAAAAUUCUGAGUUGGAAGAGACCCACAAGGAUUAUCAAAUUCUUCAGUGAAUGGCCCAUAUGGGGAUCAAACCCAUGACCCUGGCGUUACAAGCACCAUUCUUUAAGCAAGGGAGCUAAUUUUUGUAAGAUCUAGCUUCUAAGGAACAAAAGGCAAUGUUAUUCCUUACUGGAACAGAAAUGUUUUCAAUUGAAGAUUGUAAGGAAAAAGGAAUGGAUUCUGUGAAGUAUUGAGUAAUCAAUUACACCUGUGCAUAUUUAGUAUGCUGGAUCUGUAUAUGCAAAACUAUAAUUAUCUUUAAAAAUGUUUGCACCAGGCAUACUGACUUACAAAUGUGGAGGCCAUUAGAUACUCCUAGAAAUUGCAUUUUGCUAGAAGUAGACAUUGGAAAGUUUGUCUCUGGUAACCUUCUAAUAAUAUUUUUUUUACAUCUUUCUUUUGUAUCUAAAGAAAUCAAUCACUGUAAGCUGAAUUUAAGAAAACAUAAAUGUAUUUCUUUCAAAUGUUAUUGUCAGCUAUAAUGCUUUACAACUUGGGUUUUACCCUGAAGCAUGUCUUAGACAUCAAAGGGUGAACUGACAAUGUGAAGUGUGGGAAAGCCUCUCACUAUUCCCAUUAACAGCAAUAGCAGCAGCACUUUUAAUUCUUCAUUGAUCACACUGACUAUUUCCCCCUCAAGAGUCAUGAAAGCCAAGAAACUUACUGUGAGGGGUGAAACCCUUGUAAUGGACUACUUAACUAGAUUUUGAUACCUGAAGAGAAAAGAAAAUGAAAUUUCAGGAGCUGUAUUUAACUGAUAACAUACUACAUUCCAAAGAAGGCUAUACAAGGAUAAGCAGCAAUGUUAGAAAAAUGGUCUUGGAAGCAGUGGUUGUACAGAAAGAUAAAAUAUAAAAGAUAAAAGCAACAGGUUGUUACCCCUGGGACUGGAAAGGAGCAUUAAAUUGCUGAUGGCUAAACAUAAGAGCGGUUAUUCUUGGAUUCCUACUCAUAACAGAAGGGUCUCCUAAAGGAGCUUACAUUUUAAAAGCCAAGGAAAAGAUAGAAAGCCAGGCAAGGAGGUACAGCAGCCUUUAAUGAUGAUCCAGAAAAAGGAGAAAGAUAAAGUGUUCCUGCCAAUCUAUUAUAGGUGUAUGUAGGAGGGAUAAAGGUAAGUGUCAGUGAAGGACCUUACCUGCCUGUAAAUGUGUGAGGAUGGGUAAUGGGAACUCUGCUUUUGCAGAGUUUGGAUAGAAUGCUAGUCUUGUGUUAAUGAAAAGACAGUUCUGCAGGCAGAAUUUAAUACCAAAAUUUCAUCUAUGUCUUUCUUUUGUCUGCAUACUCACUGCAUAUUCAGCCUGCACAUUGUCAGCCAUGUCAGCACAAGAGCCUCUCCUUUGCAAAACCUCUCAUUUAACACAUCAUUUCUACCUUAUUGCAACAAUUUACUGAGCUUUCCUCAUUUAAAAAGGCACUGGAAAUAUGUUUUCAUUAGUCAUUAGUGGUCUCUUCUGUUUAAUUUAUAUUGGUUGAUAUUUACUGUUGAUACUUAUCUUUUUGAAGUUUUUUAUGUAUGGCCAUAUGAAAGUUACUAUCAAAAUACGUAUAGAUGUUCACAUGUACACAUUGACAUAAUUUAUUCAAAUCUAAAAGUAAGUUUAAAGUCCAAGACCCAUGUUUAACCUAAUAAAAUAUGUUCUUAUUUUAAAUCUUGAAGAUCUUGGAAUUAAUGGUAAGAUUUAAUAAGGGUCUUAAUGACCAGAUUAGAGGUCAUUUAAAAUAAAAACUGCCUGAAAUUGAAAUUAUGUAUUCCAUUAAAACAAAAUAAAAAUAUCAAGUUGUGCGUGUAGAAAAUUCUGAAUAGCUCUUGGCUAAUUUUGAAGCUAGAGAAAUGAGACUGAUACCAUACUGGUUUUAUUUUGAAGUUUCUUCUGAUAUAUGGAUUUAAGUUUCUGGUAUGCUGUAUCUAGUGUUCAAUCAGUAAAAAAUACAGAUGCAUACUUCCCUGUUGUUUCUCAGCAAGAUAAUCACAUCCUGGAAUGUAAGACAUCUAAUUUAGCUGCUUGGAGUCACCUACUGACUCUAUAAGAACCAAGGAUUUCUUUCAGAUAUUCUUCAUCACGCUCUAAUGAAACACCUGAAGUGAGUGAUAAAAAUAACUUACCUCUCUGGCUUGAUUCAGACAGUUUCAAAAAGUCAGUGACAUACCACCAGAAGCACUCAAGAACAUAACUAGUUUGCUUCAACUGCACUUGCUUAUUCUGUGACAAAAUUUGCUCUUUGAAUUUUCCUAAUUGUGAAAAU
Non-coding RNA from Zonotrichia albicollis (white-throated sparrow), 2488 nucleotides. The record is from RefSeq and is a predicted model, not a curated record. NCBI's taxonomy places the organism in Eukaryota, Metazoa, Chordata, Aves, Passeriformes, Passerellidae.